CAUGGUUCUCGACAUUGUCGCCGAAGUUUUUGCACUGCACGCCGGUGCGGGGAUGGGAGUGUCUGUCUGUAAGUGAAGUAGUGAGAACUGAAGUUAAACAUCCAUGAACAAGCACAUACAAACGCAUGAACAAGCACGAUUACCAGAACCGAAGGAAGGAAUUCGAAACUUGUGCAUGAACAACAAUAUAUAUCAAGAAUGGAGCACCCAACAGGACCGAUGUAUCAUUCAGAACAAUGAAGAAUGGAGGAAGGAAGGAGAACCUACACAGCGAUGAAAAGCCCUGCUGCUUUUGUGUUGAUUGUUCAGAAGCUAGGGAAUGUUCAUUAUACAUAGAUGCGGAGAAGCUCCCGUUGCCAUCAAAGGUCAACCCCUCUUUUUUGAUUGGUGGGCUCUGCGAAUUAUGAAUCUGCGUCGAGGAUUGCACCAUAUUAAACAUUGCGCAUGCAGGAAACACCUACCUAAUGAAGCUAGCCCUAAUGAACUGGUUAUUCUCACAGCUCAUCACUCGCUCAACUUGUAAAUUAUUUUGCAGAACACAACCGGUGUUGAAAGAAUGUGCAUCUGCUCUAUCUGCUGAACAAGCAGACUGGCUAUGAGCACUCCCUGGUAGUUUAUCAAGACAUCAUAUCAUAACCUGGUUAGUUGCUGUUUACCCUGCCUUGUGUGUGCAUGCAGUUAUACACUCAUCCUUUCAAGGCUGUUCAAGCGGCCUAUUGAUCAGAGUCAUAAAGGGGAUAAAAUAUUGCAGCAUCUCAUCAACUAGUAGUUAAGCAAUCGAUCUGUUUCUGCGACGACUAACUUUGUCGAUCUCCAGUCUGAUCCUGCUGCAUGAAGCAAUCGCUCUGUUUUUGCGACGACUGGCUGUGUCGAUCUCCAGUCUGAUCCUGCUGCAGAUCAUGCUCCGUCGGCGGUGCAUAAUUAGAAUUAACAACUGCAUUAUUGGGGCCUGCCUAGUCCCGGAGACAGCUUGUUAAGUAGAGUAUGUUGUAACAUGCCAUAAGCAGAGGAGCUCGUGCACAAGUCCACAACUACGUUGAAGAAACUAGUAUAUUUUAUCCCCUCUAUGACUUUGAUCAGUAGGCCACUUGAACAGUCAUGGAAAGGAUGAGUAACUGCAUGCCUACACAAGCCAGCGUUGUCAAUGAUGUAUUGCUGUGUUGUACUGUUGUGCUUCCCUCAGCCAUGGAUCAAAGUAUUUGGAGGAAAUCCUUACCAGUUCUAUUAAAUAAAUAUGUCUGUUCUA
Aegilops tauschii subsp. strangulata is the source of this 1246-nucleotide long non-coding RNA. RefSeq lists it as uncharacterized. The record is from RefSeq and is a predicted model, not a curated record. NCBI's taxonomy places the organism in Eukaryota, Viridiplantae, Streptophyta, Magnoliopsida, Poales, Poaceae.